RNAcentral lists this ribosomal RNA (510 nucleotides) under uncultured bacterium. RNAcentral describes it as "bacterial SSU rRNA". It matches the Rfam family "Bacterial small subunit ribosomal RNA", at positions 36 to 518 of the family's 1533-position model. The record is from RNAcentral.
CUGGCGGCGUGCCUAAUACAUGCAAGUCGAACGGUCUUUCUAUGGAAGCUUGCUUCCACUGAGAAGAUAGUGGCGAGCGGGUGAGUAACACGUGGGUAACCUGCCCAUAAGAGGGGGGAUAACAUCCGGAAACGGGUGCUAAUACCGCAUAGUUUUCUUGAUCGCAUGAUUGAGAAAGGAAAGACGGCCUUUGUGCUGUCGCUUAUGGAUGGACCCGCGGCGUAUUAGUUAGUUGGUGAGGUAAUGGCUCACCAAGACGAUGAUACGUAGCCGACCUGAGAGGGUGAUCGGCCACAUUGGGACUGAGACACGGCCCAAACUCCUACGGGAGGCAGCAGUAGGGAAUCUUCCGCAAUGGACGAAAGUCUGACGGAGCAACGCCGCGUGAGUGAAGAAAGGUUUUCGGACCGUAAAACUCUGUUGUCAGAGAAGAACAAGUUGGAGAGUAACUGCUCCAGCCUUGACGGUAUCUGACCAGAAAGCCACGGCUAACUACGUGCCAGCAGCCGC